AGUGAACGCUGGCGGUAGGCCUAACACAUGCAAGUCGAACGGCAGCACAGUAAGAGCUUGCUCUUACGGGUGGCGAGUGGCGGACGGGUGAGGAAUACAUCGGAAUCUACUUUUUCGUGGGGGAUAACGUAGGGAAACUUACGCUAAUACCGCAUACGACCUACGGGUGAAAGCAGGGGAUCUUCGGACCUUGCGCGAUUGAAUGAGCCGAUGUCGGAUUAGCUAGUUGGCGGGGUAAAGGCCCACCAAGGCGACGAUCCGUAGCUGAUCUGAGAGGGUGAUCAGCCACACUGGAACUGAGACACGGCCCAGACUCCUACGGGAGGCAGCAGUGGGGAAUCUUGGACAAUGGGGGCAAGCCUGAUCCAGCCCUACCGCGUGGGUGAAGAAGGCCUUCGGGUUGUAAAGCCCUUUUGUUGGGAAAGAAAAGCAGCAGGUUAAUACCCCGCUGUUCUGACGGUACCCAAAGAAUAAGCACCGGCUAACUUCGUG
Molecule: ribosomal RNA, 492 nt
Filed under: uncultured bacterium
Lineage: Bacteria
Description: partial 16S ribosomal RNA
Rfam family: Bacterial small subunit ribosomal RNA
Source: RNAcentral